CAGUAGCCGCGGUAAAACGAAGGGGGCUAGCGUUGUUCGGAUUUACUGGGCGUAAAGGGCGCGUAGGCGGACUGAUAAGUCAGGGGUGAAAUCCCAAGGCUCAACCUUGGAACUGCCUUAGAUACUGUUUGUCUUGAGUUCGAGAGAGGUAAGUGGAACUGCGAGUGUAGAGGUGAAAUUCGUAGAUAUUCGCAAGAACACCAGUGGCGAAGGCGGCUUACUGGCUCGAAACUGACGCUGAGGCGCGAAAGCGUGGGGAGCAAAUAGGAUUAGAUACCCGCGUAGUCCCUGUCUCUUAUAC
This 301-nucleotide ribosomal RNA is filed under the name uncultured bacterium. RNAcentral's name for it is "partial 16S ribosomal RNA". It matches the Rfam family "Bacterial small subunit ribosomal RNA", at positions 509 to 807 of the family's 1533-position model. The record is from RNAcentral.